RNAcentral lists this transfer RNA (75 nucleotides) under Alphaproteobacteria bacterium. Its description in RNAcentral is "tRNA-Thr". It matches the Rfam family "tRNA". Rfam says of the family: Transfer RNA (tRNA) molecules are approximately 80 nucleotides in length. Their secondary structure includes four short double-helical elements and three loops (D, anti-codon, and T loops). The record is from RNAcentral. Lineage: Bacteria; Pseudomonadati; Pseudomonadota; Alphaproteobacteria.
GCCGCCGUAGCUCAGGGGUAGAGCACACCAUUGGUAAUGGUGGGGUCGACAGUUCAAUUCUGUCCGGCGGCACCA